GAGGAGUCCAGUAAAUCACACAGCUUCUCCAGGCAGCUGUGCAGAAGAGACUGCAGCAUUUUUUCUCCUUAAGGAGAAGCUCUGCUAUACCAAAAAUGCCUACGUUUGGAACUGAACACGUGCCUGACUGGAUGAAUGAAGGAACAUACCCAGGAAGAGCUGUUGGGGACCACACUCAAGAUGUUUCUCAAAGUGUAGACAGUGAGCCCCCUGAUCAAAACCAGCCAGAAUGCUUAUCUAAAAUGCAUCGUUCCCCAAGAUGACUUAUCACCUCGGAGACAAUAUCCUGGAGCUUCCUCAUGGCCAUGGGACCAAAUCCUGACUUUGACUCUCCCACCAAGACUAUAUACACAUUCAUUCUCUGUUUAGACAGGAAAAGAAAAAACCUGUCGAAAAGGAAAGUGAAGGCAGUCAGAAGAAGAUAGAAGCUUCAUUAGCAGCAGGAUUCCCGACCAUGAAGCUGCAAAACGGUGGGGACUGAUUAACCAAUU
Molecule: long non-coding RNA, 491 nt
Organism: Suricata suricatta (meerkat)
Lineage: Eukaryota; Metazoa; Chordata; Mammalia; Carnivora; Herpestidae
Exons: 3
Source: RefSeq, a predicted model, not a curated record